Molecule: ribosomal RNA, 559 nt
Filed under: uncultured bacterium
Lineage: Bacteria
Description: partial 16S ribosomal RNA
Rfam family: Bacterial small subunit ribosomal RNA
Source: RNAcentral
UGGGGAAUAUUGCACAAUGGGCGAAAGCCUGAUGCAGCAACGCCGCGUGAGUGAUGAAGGCCUUCGGGUUGUAAAGCUCUGUCUUUUGGGACGAUAAUGACGGUACCAAAGGAGGAAGCCACGGCUAACUACGUGCCAGCAGCCGCGGUAAUACGUAGGUGGCAAGCGUUGUCCGGAUUUUACUGGGCGUAAAGGAUGCGUAGGCGGAUUUUUAAGUGAGAUGUGAAAACCCUAAGCUUAACUUGGGGACUGCAUUUCAUACUGGAAAUCUAGAGUGCGGGAGAGGAGAAUGGAAUUCCUAGUGUAGCGGUGAAAUGCGUAGAGAUUAGGAAGAACACCAGUGGCGAAGGCGAUUCUCUGGACCGUAACUGACGCUGAGGCAUGAAAGCGUGGGUAGCAAACAGGAUUAGAUACCCUGGUAGUCCACGCCGUAAACGAUGAGUACUAGGUGUAGGAGGUAUCGACCCCUUCUGUGCCGCAGUUAACACAAUAAGUACUCCGCCUGGGAAGUACGAUCGCAAGAUUAAAAACUUAAAUGAAUUGACGGGGGUCAUAGCUG